UAGCAAACCGCUCUGACAUUAAUGACUGUUAUUUUGUGUUAGUAAAGCGCAUCCACGCGAGUAACAAUAGUAAUGACACAUGAUUGUAAAGAUGGCGUUUAUUAAAGAGGAGAGUGAAGACGUGAAGAUUGAAGAAGCAUUCAGAGUCAAACAUGAAGAGACUGAGGAACAAACAGACCUCAUGCCAGUGAAAGAGGAGCGCAUAGUACCGAAUGAAACGGAAGAGAAUGAACAAAAUGAGGCUCAUCAUGAUUUUAAAACUGGAGAAGAAUCUUUCAGUUGCCCACAGACUGAAGAGAAAACCGCUCAUAAAACGGGAACUGAAAGUUAUUUCACCCCAUUUCACUCUGAAAAGAGUUACAGUGAACAUGGAAACCUUGAAGUCCACAUGAGAGUUCACACUGGAAAGAAGCGUUUCCCCUGCCAACAGUGUGGAAAAAGUUUUACUCAAAACGUAAACCUUAACAGACACAUGAGAAUUCACACUGGAGACAAACCUUAUACCUGCACACAGUGUGGAAAGAGUUUCGAUCAACAUGGAAACCUAAAAGUGCACAUGAGAAUUCACACUGGAGGGAAGCCUUAUUCCUGCCAACAAUGUGGAAAAAGUUUCAAUAGAAAAGGAGAUCUUACUGACCACACGAGAGUUCACACUGGAGAGAGCCCUUUCCCCUGCCAACAGUGUGGAAAACGUUUUACUCAAAAAGUAAACCUUAACAGACACAUGACAAUACACACUGGAAACAAGCCUCACAUCUGCCCUGAGUGUGGAAAGAGUUUUGAUCAACUUGGAAACCUUAAAGUGCAUAUGAGAGUUCACACUGGAGAGAAGCCUUACACCUGCAAAGAGUGUGGGGUCAGUUUCACUCAUGAAGGAAACCUUUACAGGCACAUGAGAAUUCACACUGGAGAGAAGUCCUUCACCUGCCAACAGUGUGGAAAAACAUUCAAUAGAAAAGGAAGUCUUAAUGACCACAUGAGAGUUCACACUGGAGAGAGCCCUUUCCCCUGCCAACAGUGUGGAAAGUGUUUUACUCAAAAAGUAAACCUUAACAGACACAUGAGAAUUCACACUGGAGACAAGCCUCACAUCUGCCCUGAGUGUGGAAAGAGUUUUUAUCAACAUGGAUACCUUAAAGUGCACAUGAAAGUUCACACUGGAGAGAGACAAUUUAUCUGCCAAAUGUGUGGAAUAAGCUUCAUUAAAAAAGGAUUCCUUACCAGGCACAUGAGAAUUCACACUGGAGGAAAAGCUUAUACAUGCCCUCAGUGUGGAGAGAGUUUUGAACAACAUGAAAGCCUUAAAGUCCACAUGAGAGUUCACACUGUAGAGAGACCCUUCACCUGCCAACAGUGUGGAAAAAGCUUUACUGAAAAAGGAAACCUUAGCAGGCACAUGAGAAAAUUUCACCGCAUUUAUUAAACACAAACUUGAUCAGCAGAUGAGGAUUAAUUUGAGAGAACUGUUUUAUGUCCUCAGGGUGGAAGUAGUCAUGCAAUAACAUUAUGAUGUUGGCCAGUAGUCUCUGGUGUAUAUUCAGCAGGAUUCUAUAUUUAGAAGGUGUUGUUUGGCAGCGUUAGAGUUGGGUACUUGAUCUUGGACUUGGACUCAAGUCUGAGCUUUAAUAAAUCUAAUAAAAAUAAAUGCAGACAUCCUACAACAUUUAGAUGCAAUGAAAGGUUGCCUAUCAUAUUUCAAAAUCAACUUCAGUUUACUUAAAUUUAAUUUUAACUUAUACUUAAUUUAAAAACAGCCACAGACCGACUGUACAAGUACAAGUUAGCAUAAAAUAAAAAAAAUUUAAGAACUCCAAUGGCAGCAAAACAGUUAACUCUUAUAAGUUAAAAACAACAAGAGAAUAAAUACUUUUUGAUACAAGACUUGAACUCAAACAAAGUGGACGCCAAUCUAAUAUAGAGUGGGAGCUUGUUUCACAGUGUUGGACCAGCUUUGUCAAUGGCUCGGUUACCCCUCGAUUUUACCCGGAUUUUGGGUAUCUGAAGGAGGAGCUUAUUUUUGGAUCUAAGGCCUCUAGUGGGGAGUAGGGGUGAAGUACAUUUGACAAAUAAAAGGGUGCUAAACCAUUUAAUGAUUUAAAUACCAGUAAUACAGUUUUAAACUCAAUUCUAAAAUUAAUCUGAAGCCAGUGAGGGGAUCUCAGAAGGGGGGUAGCAUGAUCAGAUUUCCCCUUUCCCUUCAGUAAUCUCGCCGCAGCAUUUUGAAUGACCUGUGAUCAGGCCACUGCGAUAUAGCAGUCUCCAAGGAGUGCUUAGGAAGACGGGAUUUGAUUUUUGAUAGAGAAUGAAAAGACAAAAAGCUGGACCCAAUGGCCACACUAAUCUGCUUGUCAAAUUUGAGGAAACUAUCUGCUAUCACACCUAGAUCCUCAAGACAUGCUGUUAGGUUGCCUACAGAACUCUUAUUUUUCCUAGACAUGCCAUAUAGAUUUGCAUAUCAUCGGCCUAGGAAUUAAAUGAAACAUUAUGCUUCCUAAAAAUGGAACCCAAAGGGAGAAGAUAGAGAAAAGGGGACAGGAGCUAAAACCGAGCCUUGAGGCACGCCACAGGAUAGAUUGUGAAGAGAAAUUGUUCUAUUUUUAGAGAAAAAAGUACAUUCAUUAGAAAAUAUUUAAACCAACGUAAAACAGCACGCAAUGGUAUCAAAAGCAGAGGACAGGUCCAACAUUACUAAAAUGACAGAGUCCCCUGAAUAUGUUGCCAUAUGAAUAUCAUUACUAACUCUUACAAGAGUUUGUCUGUGCUAGUGUUCCUACGACAGACGAGCUUAGAGUGGUUAAAAUCAUCCAGGUUUAAAUCGCACUCAAAUUGAUUAGAUUUUGACACAAUAUUUAAACUGAAGCUUGCAGCAGGCAGUUAUGGUAAAGAGUGUUGGGGUAAUGCAUUACAAGUAACGCAAGUUAUGUAAUCAGAUUACUUUUUCCAAGUAAUUAACUAGUAAAGUAACACAUUACUUUUUAAUUUACAAGAAAAUAUUCAAAAAAGUAACGCCAGUUACUUUGUUUUCCCAUUUAUUGACUGUCAAGUCUCCCGUCCCCAUAUUGGAAGAAAUUUGAAGUACAGAGGUGUUGUGUGCACUGUGUGAACAUGAUGUAGUUCUAGACUAAAUGUGAAUGUGCACUGAUUCUUCGCACUAACAACAACAACAAAAAAAGAUUUUGUAUUCAUCAAAAUUAUUUAAAACUUGACAAAAUGACUUAAACUCAUAAUAUCACAUAAACCUGCAAUAAUUAAAUGUUAAAUAAGACAAAUGUAUCUAAUCCCAUUAUAUUAACUAAUGUCUUUGGUGCUGACCAUUGAUGAUCCAGUUCAACCAUACUAAAAGCAAAAGUGAUAUUGUAAUGCAUUACCUUUAAAAUUAACUUUACCCAACACUGAUGGUAAGAGGCAGGACAUUUGUAAAAGAGCAUAAUAGGAUGCAUUUAAAAGCGUACUGAUGAUAGGCAAUUGUUUAAGAUCUCAUAAGAAAUCUGUAAUCUGUCCUUUUUCCACUUCCUUUCUGCUUUUCUGCAUGCCUGUCUCAAGAAACGAAAACUAUUUUCAACCCAUGCCUUUAACUUAGAUGUAGAUUUUGGAUUAAAGAGCUUAAAAUGAGCUAUAAGGUUUAAAAUAUCUGUCCAUGCACUGUUUAAAACAAUAAAAUCAAGAUCCAAUAAUAGACUCUAAUGAUAAAAGAGGGUUGACCUCAUUAUAGAGCUUGACAAAAUCCUCACAAACAUGAGGCAAAUAUUAACAGGUUUGUGUACCAUCAGAAGCCAGUGGGAGGGAUGAUUUAAAUAAAACAGUAAAAUGAUCGGAGAUGACAGAAUCAAUGACUUCAGCAUCAGAUAGACAAUAGGGCCUUCCACACCCCGGGAACCUUUUCAUAGUACCAGAACUAAUUUUGGAAAACUACCCACUUUUGGGCAUUUUCGCACCACUGGAACUGGGCACGAUUUUAGUACCGGACUGCUUUUUUUAAGAACCAAAUUAGAUCCUACUCUGGAGCAGGGUCUCACCAGCACAACUGGUACUUAAAAAUGCCCUCACCCUCCAUGAUUUAAAACAAUGUGCAAACACACUGUAAACAUUGUCAACUUAUUUCGCAAGUGUGGAAAACAGCAAUAGAUGGACGGACUCUGAAGAGCUUGUACUUUUAAACAUUUACACAGAAGGUACGCACUGAGGAAAUCCAGUUGGAAUUCAAAGAAAAAAACAAAAAGUGUCUAUUGCUUCUCAGCUAGCGACACUGGGUAUCCAGCAUACAGCUCAGCAGUGCCAUGACACAAUUAAGAAGUUAAAACAAGACUAGAAAUUAAUUAAAGAGCACAACAAUCAGAGUGUUGCCAGAUACCAGCUACUGGACAACAUUCUUGGCCACAGACUGGCUUAUUCUGGUAGUGCCGGGAUAAAGGAUUCAGCUCUUGGGCUAAGGGGAAACUGACCAUGGAGAGUUCACCAACCAACUCAAACCAGGUAUAGCACCAGAGUCCUCUUUUGUUGCAGAGGCACAACAUAGUGCCAAUUUGAUGGACAUUAGUGGCACUGUAUGCAGUGCCUUCAUUUCCACGUCUUGCAGUACCCCCAGCCGCCCCGUCUCUGUACCACCUGUAAUGUCCUUGUUCUCUUUUAGUUGCAAAGAGACGAAUGGUUGAUGCUAGUGUCGUAAGCCUGGUGAAAGAGAUGAUGGAGAAAGAGGAAGUGGACUGCAGACAAUGUCAAUAAGGCUUUGCAUUUCUCCUGACUUUUUAAUGGAGCAGGCACAGAGAGAAGCUGAGGAGCAUGAACGGCUGCUUGUACAGGAGGAAGAAGCAUGGUGUCAGCAGGAUGUUUUCAUGGAGGGUUUUCUGGCACCUAUGAAAAACUGGUGGCAGGUGCACAGCACCCACAUGAACCUACUGUCAACUAGCCCUAUAAAUGUUUAAUUUUUUUCAUUUUAAUUACAUUUUCUUGUUUGUACAUUUACUUUUUUUUUGUAUGUAUUUUGUAUGUACGUGUUAGUUUAUAUAUUUAAAAAAAGACACAAUUUUUAUUAACAAAUGACAAAUAUAAAUAAAGUAUGGAAAGAAUUAUGUUGCUUACUCUUUUUAUUUGUGCUGGUAAUCACCUCGUCUCAGAACAUGAUGAAGCGGCAAUGUUUUUUUUUUUAAUCCCAAAAAGGUAUUUUUAUCCAAAAUAAAAAUAAGGAAAUGUAUGUUAGUAUGCAUGUAAUUAAUGUUGGAAAUGUAGCUUAUGAAGUCAUGAAAAAAACAUGGACAGACAGACUACUUUGCAUUCAGAAAUCAGUGUCCUGAGCAGUCACAAUGCAGUUUCUUAACAAUUUUUACAGUAAGGAUUGUUAUAAUUAUAACUGGGACAUUUCAGCUGGCACCCAAAUGGUUUAGAUGCUGCAUCAAGGCAACACAAACUCCAAACUCUUCAGUCUCAGCAACAGGUGCCUGGUGUGUAACAUCCGGUUGGGGGAAAGGACACACAAGGUACACACAACUCCUCUCUAUGCUCCUUGCCAUGGGUCUCACAGAGGUUGUGUAGUACACAGCAAGUGAUCACCAUGGACUUCACCCUUUCUAGAAUGCAGUCAUUGUGCUUCAACAGGCAUCUCCAUCAUCCUUUCAAUCGGCCAAAUGCAUUUUCAACCAAAAUCUCCUCUUGCUUGUUUUAUGGUUAUAUAUACCUGCUGCUGUGCUGUCAGAAAACCAUUGUCAGGGAAGGGCUUCAUGAGCCAGCUUGUCAGUGGAUAUCCAAGGAUGUAGAGGCCCACGUUUUGUCCAUUAAUAUUUCUGUAUUGCUGUGCAAUCAAAUUUAUUCCCUUAGCCAGCUCCCAUAAUGCAGACAAACACAGAACCCUGACAUCAUGCAAACUGCCAGGUAACCCAGCAAAAACAUUCCAAAAUAACCACUUGGCAUCAACAGCUGCCUGCAACACAAUGGAGUACCACCUAUUACGACUGAACUAUUCAGUGUGGUAUUCCAGGGGAGAGAUGUAGUGAUCUGUCUCACUAGACAUUCUGAAAUUUUGGCUCCACUGCUCAUCUGUGAAGUAGGGCACUACAGUUGUCCACCCCUCAUCGAUUCUCUUGUGGACCCACUGUAAAUCUAAGAACAAGAACUGAUUUUAACCUGUGUUAAGUGUCCUACAGGUAAUCGUGCUCAUGAAGAGCAGGCACACAGUUGCCAGGUGCAGACACCGCUGAAGCUAAAUUGUCCCGCAUGUGUUCUCCUGCGCUGGCUUCUGUGUUGCAGGGUUCAGGUGGCCAUCGUCAUCCUCCGCAACUUCUGCAUAAACUAUGUCCCCAUUAAUAAGACAGAGGUUAUGGAGCACCGUGCAGCAUGCAAUGACCUCUGGCACAAAAGCAGGACUGACUUCCAGUGCCUUGAAAAAAAGUUUCAGCAUCCCGAAGGCCCUCUCCACGAUGUCCGUGCACGAGAAUGCUUCCUAUUCCAGCGUUCUGUAUGGCGUCAUGAGGCAGAUGGGCAAGGAUACUAACCAUGUCCAAGGAUGCAUUUUCCUGCAGGAAAUGGGAAACGGGCGGCCAGUGUACACAGGGCUGUUCUUCAGCACCCUGGCAUCGUACACAGACCCAGGAUACCCCACAAAAAUGUCGAGGAACUUCCCCUGGUGGUGAGUGAUGGCCUGCAGCUGUACAGAAUUAAAGAGCUUUCGAUUAAAGUAGCACUGCACAUCACUUGCUGGUGGUUUGAUGCGGAUGUGACAGCCAUUUAUAGCACCAGCUACUACUCUGAAAGCUGGAGACGCUGCCAGCUGGGCAAAACCUGCUCCCACCACCUCCAGGUCAUCCGCACUGGGGAAAGAGAUGAGCUGACUCAAAAUCCCGAUGACUGCCUUGCUCAUUCUGUGCUCGUGCACAGUAGACUUCGGGAUGUCAAAGGCGAGUGACACUACCCGGUGUGAUGCUGCAUGUGCCAGCCAGUAAAGGAACACCAGCACCUCAACGUCCUUUUCCCAGCCUUGGUCGCAUUCAGGUUUCACUGCAGCAAUCAAGGACUGGAUGGAGUGCCGUGAAAGUCAAAGUUUGGUGCGGAGGUCAGCUCCAUCUUCAAAAUACAGACGAAGAAUUGGCGCAGCAGCAUUCAGGUGGCAGUAGGGCUCACAA
RNA transcript from Carassius auratus (goldfish), 7112 nucleotides. It is a transcript of the gene named gastrula zinc finger protein XlCGF57.1-like, with no coding region annotated. The transcript has 4 exons. The record is from RefSeq and is a predicted model, not a curated record. NCBI's taxonomy places the organism in Eukaryota, Metazoa, Chordata, Actinopteri, Cypriniformes, Cyprinidae.